GAGCCCGGCUUGCCUGGAACAGUAGGACAAAACGGAAUACCAGGGCCAAAGGGAGAACCUGGAGAUCAAGGCGAAAAGGGAGAAGCUGGAGAGAAUGGCC
This is an RNA transcript of Neomonachus schauinslandi (Hawaiian monk seal), 100 nucleotides long. RefSeq lists it as uncharacterized. Lineage: Eukaryota; Metazoa; Chordata; Mammalia; Carnivora; Phocidae. The transcript has 3 exons. The record is from RefSeq and is a predicted model, not a curated record.